Long non-coding RNA from Halichondria panicea, 743 nucleotides. RefSeq lists it as uncharacterized. The transcript has 3 exons. NCBI's taxonomy places the organism in Eukaryota, Metazoa, Porifera, Demospongiae, Suberitida, Halichondriidae. The record is from RefSeq and is a predicted model, not a curated record.
CGCAUUUAUGCGUCAUGUCGGUAUGACGCCAUAGACGCAUUUUUGCGUCAACCGCAGUAAUCCGGCUUCUCUCUGCUCUAAAGAAACCAGGGAGCGGCUGCUGCUAUUUUAACGCUACUACUACGUCCAGUUACUGUUCAGGUAAGUAUAUAUGCAGUCAAAACUUCGUACUGUGCAGAAAAUAUUUUGGCAAUACACGCUUGAAUAUGUAGCUAGUUUACAAAUUAAAUAUUAAUUAUUGGCAUGAACAAACACUAUCAAAAUAUUAUAUAGAGCUACUAGCAUGGCUAAGAGGCCACACUAGAUCAGUGAGGAGGUGCUGCAUGAAAUUGUAGGCUACCCACUAGCUCUGGGACCUGCACAGAUUGACAUAGAAGACCCAGUAGCCAGAGUACAGCAAGGUAACAGAGAUGUGCCAGUCAUGGAGGGCAGUGAUGAUGAGUUUUCUGAUUGAGAACAGUUUGGAGAGGAGCUUGAAGAUCUGGAUAGGACAUUGACACUGCAUGAGCUGAGCACUGUUGUGAAAGUCCUACCACCAACGUCAACCUUCCUGUACAUGGCAUUGUCUGUGCGCGUGUAUGUGUAGGCGACUCCAAGGUACUCCAAAAGGGACCCAGUGGCAGUGCAUAGUGUGACAGCAAAGUAUCAGCAGUAGCCACAGACAUCAGACACUUUUUAUAUCUAUUGUUAGUUACGCAAAGAAUUAUAAUCGUUACUGAUGGUAAAAAAAAUGUUUUUCAAGG